Molecule: long non-coding RNA, 905 nt
Filed under: Gallus gallus (chicken)
Lineage: Eukaryota; Metazoa; Chordata; Aves; Galliformes; Phasianidae
Description: long non-coding RNA NONGGAT011885
Source: RNAcentral
AUUAUAUGAUACAGUUAUAUUUUGGUAUAUGUGCAUUUGUUGAGAUCGUCAAAGCUGAAACUAUGAAGAGAAGCACACAUCACUAUAUGGCUGACCUCAUGUGUACAAGAUGACUUCAGCAAGUUAAAGUGAUCAGACUUCUUUUCAAAGACUACUAGAUUUCCCAGGAAGAAAUGAUAAUUUGAUUAUACUCAAAGGGAGGGGAACAAGCAACCCUCAGGCUGCUGAAGUACAGCUUUCUUUAGGUACCUUCCAUCAUGCUGAGUCAAGUACAUGCACCCCAGCCCUCUGGAGAUCCUGCACCAAAUCACUUUUGCCUAGACGACUCUCUGCUCUGCAGCAGGUGGGAUAACAAGCAUGGAGGACUUACAAAGAUGUGGGGUUGAGACCCACAGCUGCAGGUAGAGCUGUACCUAGAUGACAAGCAACAUCACUUCCUUCUUUCUGUUGUACUAAUGUAUGGAGCAGAUGCAGUGUUCUUGUUCUGAUCUGUGAUGAAGUAACAUCCCAGCCCUGAUUCACUGCCAUUUGUAGUAAGAUAAAAGGUGGGGCUGUUACACUGCAUACAGUACAACUGGAUCUCACAAUCAGAUUAACAGCAGCAGAUACAUGUGUUUGGCCAUAAACUUCUAUUACAGUCCUUCCUCUCUCUUUCCCCUAGACUGGCUGUGUAUUUUUUUGCCUCCUGAAGUCUGUGUUGAAUUAAAAAAAAAUGCAGAAUGGCCUGGAGGUGGCAGCAGCCAGACCAGCAAAACAAACUGUAUUUGAAGAAAUUUGAUUCACUGUGGAGUCAAAAGUUCUGUAGAGUCAGGAAAGAGCCACUGCUGGAGCUUCACCAUGGCAAAUGUGUCAUAACUUAUAGAAUGGCAGAGAUUUUGCUUUCAUUGUUGUAAACAUAACUGGCU